Long non-coding RNA from Cygnus atratus (black swan), 1250 nucleotides. RefSeq lists it as uncharacterized. Lineage: Eukaryota; Metazoa; Chordata; Aves; Anseriformes; Anatidae. The record is from RefSeq and is a predicted model, not a curated record. The transcript has 3 exons.
UAGGAGUCUCUGCUAGAGAAGAAUUUCAGCUGCAGUUCCAACUUAAGCAGGCAGGAAAAAAAAAUACAAGGAUAAAAGUAGAAGGAUUUGAAAGCAGCACCUAGGUGGGAAUCUUGUGUGCAGUCAAGAAAAGAGUCUUUCCACAGGAAGCUGUUCACAGUCAAUGUGACACCAUAAUCUCUGAUUCAUCCCAUCACUAUUAUAUGACAGUUAAAUAAGGUGACAGAGCACUGGAACAGUGGAACAGGUUGUGCAGUGAGGCUGUGGUCUCCCUUCCUGUAGAUCUUCAAAAGCAUCCUGGUCAAGGUCCUGGGCAGCACACUCUAGGUGUCCCUGCUUGAGCAGGGGUUUGGACUAGAUGACCUCCAGAGGUCCCUUCCAACCUCUAUGAUUCUGUGAUUCUGUGAUCCUGUGACUAGCCCUCAUUACAUAAGAUAAAAACCAGCAUCAUUUUAGACCUACAAAGGGACUGUGAUUAUCAAUUAGAAGAAAGAUAGCAGAUUGAGGAGCUAUGUUGGAAAGACAGAAAAUAAAAGCUCCCUCCCUCCCUCACCCACCCUCACAACAAGAUAUUAGCAUUUAUGUUAAAUAGUGAGUUUGCUGCCAAAUAAUUUGUCAUCCUAUUCUCUUUAGUUCUUUUCUGUGUAUGACUAUGAGUACUUCUGUGGCCUUGUGGGAAAACUAUUUCUUCCUGUGGCAACUACAAAUAGGAGCCUCCUAAUUGUUGGCCGAUUAUGAAGAAUUUGGUGACCUCCAGACUAGACUGCAACUGUAUUGCACUUAAAUACCUGUAACCUCACACUUUAAGCAGAUAUGGGUAGGGGGAACAGCAUCUUCUGUCGACUGGCAGAGGGUAUUUCUGAUUUCAUCCUUCACUGAAAAGAUGGAAAUACGUUAUAAAAAAUUGUUUCUAUUAAUUAAUAGCAGUUUCUGAAAGCAUACAAUAUCUUAAAGGAUGAGACGCUAUAUGGACAUACAACAAAGAGAUGUAAGAGAGCAGAUCUAAGGCCAUUGUGGCAACAUGCAACUCAGGACAAAUUCAUAAACUAACCUUUCAGAAGCAUAAAGAUAAAUUAUAUCCUAAACACAGAUCUAAGAAUUUUUCCAUCCAAAUGAAAAAAUGAGACAUGGCGUGAAAAAUGUGAAAGCAGAACAGGUCUUCCCUGAAUCUUUCUCCUUUUUUUCAAAUAAAUCCUGACAGAUGAUGAAGGUAAAAUCACUGAUGCUGUAGAUGCAGAAGGUAACGGCAA